ACUCCUUGCUUGCUGACUCCGCCUGGAACGGCUUUCCCCUCUCUCGCAUUUGCCGCCCUACCACCAUCCAGGAAUUACUUUCCACCUCCACUACUACCGCCGCCGCCGCCGCCGCUGCUCCGGUCUCGCAUCCUCCCACUUGAAUUCCUAAAUUUCAAAUUGAAAAUUAAUAGGGCUUGAUGUAAUUGUAGUGAUUCCACACUCCUCUGUUCAAAUGUGUGCAAAUUGCAAUUUAAAAUUGUAAAAAUCGAAAUUUUAAAAACCCCCGACGCUCACAUGUCUCGGGGAGGGAUUUAAUAAGUUAGUGCUAAAUUUGAAUAUUAAACUUACUAUAUCACUAAUAAGAAUGAAUUUAUUUAUCAAUAUUUAAAUAAUCAACCAUCCAUCAACAUUUAAAUAAUCAACCAUCCAUCAACAUCUACCAUGUUCUUUAGUUUUCAAAACUUACCUUCAAAUUUAGUUUUUUCCGGAUUUAAUAUUCGGUAGGCAACCAAAAGCAUCUCUCUCUCACUCAUUGACUCACUCGCUAGCUCGCGUUUUACCCACAAAAGCAAUGGCCACAGCAACUCAAGCGACCUUGAGUCUCUUUGCCGCUCCGCUGCCGGCCAAACCCCGCUCUCUC
This 622-nucleotide long non-coding RNA is filed under the name Malus domestica (apple). RNAcentral's name for it is "long non-coding RNA (MDOM_LNC020064)". The record is from RNAcentral. Lineage: Eukaryota; Viridiplantae; Streptophyta; Magnoliopsida; Rosales; Rosaceae.